ACUCCUACGGGAGGCAGCAGUGGGGAAUAUUGCACAAUGGGCGCAAGCCUGAUGCAGCAACGCCGUGUGAGUGAAGAAGGUUUUCGGUAUCGUAAAACUCUGUCCUAAGGGAAGAAACAAAUGACGGUACCUUAGGAGGAAGCCCCGGCUAACUACGUGCCAGCAGCCGCGGUAAUACGUAGGGGGCAAGCGUUAUCCGGAAUCACUGGGCGUAAAGGGUGCGUAGGCGGCUUAGCAAGCCAGGGGUGAAAGGCAUUGGCUCAACCAAUGUAAGCCUUUGGAACUGUUAAGCUUGAGUGCAGGAGAGGUAAGUGGAAUUCCUAGUGUAGAGGUUGAAAUUCGUAGAUAUUAGGAGGAACACCAGUGGCGAAGGCGACUUACUGGACUGUAACUGACGCUGAUGCACGAAAGCGUGGGUAGCGAACA
This 426-nucleotide ribosomal RNA is filed under the name uncultured bacterium. RNAcentral's name for it is "bacterial SSU rRNA". It matches the Rfam family "Bacterial small subunit ribosomal RNA", at positions 335 to 774 of the family's 1533-position model. The record is from RNAcentral.